UGCAGUGUCAUCAGAAGGAGUCCUGUGAUCACAUCGUUAGAAUAAGACCAGAAAACAUUUCAGGUAAACAACAACAGAGACAGAGACAGCUUUAUGAUCCUGAACGGUGUGGGUCUCUCUUUAGUGUCCCCUGGUCUCUAGCUGUGUGUGUCUCUCUUUAGUGUCCCCAGCUGUGUGCGUCUCUCUUUAGUGUCCCCUGGUUUCCAGCUGUGUGCGUCUCUUUAGUGUCCCCUGGUUUCCAGCUGAGUGCGUCUCUUUAGUGUCCCCUGGUUUCCAGCUGUGUGCGUCUCUUUAGUGUCCCCUGGUCUCCGUUGUGUUUGGUGUCUGCAGCUUUUAGUAAACGCGGCUCAUGUUUCCAGAAGCUGCUGCUGUUCUCUAAACGCUGCUUGUGUUGAAGAGCUGCUGCAGAUGUUUCUUCUUCUGCACGAGUGGUUUUUAUAUCUGCGUUGUUCCUGAAGCUGCAGGACGUCUCUCCUGAUGGAAGAGUCUCAGGGGUUGUAGCACGUUAGCACCUGUUAGCCUCUGUAUGUGAAAUCCUUUGCAAUAUGUUUUGAGUGUGACUCCAGAGUAGCCAGCAAUGUGAUGUGACCUGUGUUUCUGUACUGAAGGUAAACUCAACAGAGACAACCUGCUCUACUGUUGAACGUACCUUUUUUGUAUUUCCCACGUUUUUGUGCUUUCUCUUCAUUUCAGCACCAGAUAUUCCAUGGUUAGGAACUCCAGAGUUUAUUUAUUCCGUUGUUUUUAUGUCUCCAAGAUAUCAAACACUCCUCUCAGAGUCGAGUCCGAUUUUCAUAAACACUCAGAGUAUAAAUUGCCAUUUAUCAGGGAACGGGACACAGGACAUGUAUGUGUUACAUCCAUUAAUGUCACAUCUAGAAAAAGACAACUUGAGUUAUUUGAGUCUAAAUAAACAAACUCUCCCACUCUG
Molecule: long non-coding RNA, 931 nt
Organism: Eleginops maclovinus (Patagonian blennie)
Lineage: Eukaryota; Metazoa; Chordata; Actinopteri; Perciformes; Eleginopidae
Exons: 2
Source: RefSeq, a predicted model, not a curated record